CAAGUCGAACGAGAAAGUGGAGCAAUCCAUGAGUACAGUGGCGUACGGGUGAGUAACACGUGGGUAAUCUACCUUUUAGUGAGGAAUAACCGAGGGAAACUUCGGCUAAUACCGCAUAAGCCUGAGAAGGGAAAGCAGAAAUGCGCUGAAAGAGGAGCCCGCGGCCGAUUAGCUAGUUGGUGAGGUAAGAGCCCACCAAGGCAGAGAUCGGUAGCCGGCCUGAGAGGGCACACGGCCACACUGGCACUGAAACACGGGCCAGACUCCUACGGGAGGCAGCAGUGGGGAAUCUUGCACAAUGGGGGAAACCCUGAUGCAGCGACGCCGCGUGAGCGAUGAAGCCCUUCGGGGUGUAAAGCUCUUUCGUCAGGGAAGAUAGUGACGGUACCUGGAGAAGCAGCUGCGGCUAACUACGUGCCAGCAGCCGCGGUAAUACGUAGGCAGCAAGCGUUGAUCGGAGUUACUGGGCGUAAAGGGUGUGUAGGCGGUUCUUUAAGUUUGCUGUGAAAUCUCCCGGCUUAACCGGGAGGGUGCGGUGAAUACUGAGGGACUAGAGUACGGGAGAGGAAAGUGGAAUUCCUGGUGUAGCGGUGAAAUGCGUAGAUAUCAGGAGGAACACCGGUGGUGUAGACGGCUUUCUGGACCGACACUGACGCUGAGACACGAAAGCGUGGGUAGCAAACAGGAUUAGAUACCCUGGUAGUCCACGCCCUAAACGAUGCAUAUUUGGUGUGGGCAGUUCAUUCUGUCCGUGCCGGAGCUAACGCGUUAAAUAUGCCGCCUGGGGAGUACAGUCGCAAGGCUGAAACUCAAAGGAAUUGACGGGGGGCCCGCACAAGCGGUGGAGCAUGUGGUUCAAUUCGACGCAACGCGAAGAACCUUACCUGGGCUCGAACGGCUUCUCAACGGCGGUGGAAACACUGUUACCCCGCAAGGGGGUGGAGUCGAGGUGCUGCAUGGCUGUC
Molecule: ribosomal RNA, 965 nt
Filed under: uncultured Bacillota bacterium
Lineage: Bacteria; Bacillati; Bacillota
Description: bacterial SSU rRNA
Rfam family: Bacterial small subunit ribosomal RNA
Source: RNAcentral